This 774-nucleotide ribosomal RNA is filed under the name uncultured Neocallimastigales. Its description in RNAcentral is "partial large subunit ribosomal RNA". It matches the Rfam family "Eukaryotic large subunit ribosomal RNA", at positions 24 to 634 of the family's 3401-position model. The record is from RNAcentral. Lineage: Eukaryota; Fungi; Neocallimastigomycota; Neocallimastigomycetes; Neocallimastigales.
UAUCUCUGUAGAGUCUGCAUAUCAAUAAGCGGAGGAAAAGAAACUAACAAGGAUUCCCUUAGUAACGGCGAGUGAAGCGGGAAGAGCUCAAAUUUGAAAUCUUCAAGGUUUUACCUUGACGAAUUGUAGUUUAAAGAAGUGUUUUCUGUUGAAGUUUCGGUAAAAGUUCUUUGGAAUAGGACAUCAUAGAGGGUGAGAAUCCCGUAUUUGACCGUUAUUUUCAGCUGUGUGAUACACUUUCAAAGAGUCGGAUUGUUUGGGAAUGCAGUCCAAAAUGGGUGGUAAAUUUCAUCUAAAGCUAAAUAUUGGCGAGAGACCGAUAGCGAACAAGUACCGUGAGGGAAAGAUGAAAAGAACUUUGAAAAGAGAGUUAAACAGUACGUGAAAUUGUCAAAAGGGAAGCGUUUGACACCAGUGUUGUUUUCUCGAAAAUCAAUUAAAAAUGGCCUGAUUUUGUGUUGUAUUGACCUUAAAAGCUUUCUUCACUUUUUCCAUGUCUUUUUUAAUGCACUUUUCGUUUAACAAGUCAACAUCAGUUUCUUUUGUUGUAAAAAGGUCAUUGGAAGGUGGCUUUCUUUUCGGAGAAAGUGUUUAUAGCCUUUGACUUCUGCAAUCGGAGAGACUGAGGUCUGCAGCGUAGAUCCUUCUGGAUUAGAUUCAUUUGUGCUAAGUUACAACCGUUUAUAGACAACUUGUUGACUAUAUUCGAUCCUGUAGCUUACUCGCUUAUGUAAUUUUACCUACGCUUAGGAUGUUGAUAUGCAUGACUGAUAU